CUAGGUCAUAACCUAAUGCCUAUUCAUAUUUCAGGACGUGGCAGAACCUGGAACACCUGUGGAGAUUCUCUUUGUUUCUGGUGUCUUGCUGACCAUUGGGUCAAAACCAACUGUGCAGUUCUUCACUAAGCCUAAGGAUCACAAGUGUGACUCAUCGGAACCUGAUUUAUGUGAUUCGGGAUGCAAUGGUGUGCAGAUGACGCGUCCUUCAGUCAUCUCCAAGGCUGGUGGCCUUGAAAGAGAGAAGGAUUACCGUUACACUGGGAGUGAUGGUAAAUGCAAGUUUGACAAGUCUAAGAUUGUUGCUUCAAUUCAGAACUUCAGUGUUGUGUCUGUGGAUGAGGGUCAAAAUGUUGCUAACCUCAUAUAACAUGGGCCACUGGCAAGUAAGUAAAAGAUAAAGAAUCUGUUGAAAUACA
Long non-coding RNA from Zea mays, 419 nucleotides. RefSeq lists it as uncharacterized. The transcript has 3 exons. Lineage: Eukaryota; Viridiplantae; Streptophyta; Magnoliopsida; Poales; Poaceae. The record is from RefSeq and is a predicted model, not a curated record.